RNAcentral lists this ribosomal RNA (378 nucleotides) under uncultured eukaryote. RNAcentral describes it as "SSU rRNA". It matches the Rfam family "Eukaryotic small subunit ribosomal RNA", at positions 587 to 972 of the family's 1831-position model. The record is from RNAcentral.
AGCUCCAAUAGCGUAUAUUAAAGUUGUUGCAGUUAAAAAGCUCGUAGUUGAACCUUGGGCCUGGCUGAUCUGUCUUCCUAAACGUUGUACGGAUUCGGUCGGGCCUUUCCUUCUGGGGAAUCCUAUGUCCUUUAUUGGGCGUAGUGGGGAACCAGGACUUUUACCUUGAAAAAAUUAGAGUGUUCAAAGCAGGCCUUUGCUCGAAUACAUUAGCAUGGAAUAAUGAAAUAGGACAGCAGUUCUAUUUUGUUGGUUUCUAGGACCGCUGUAAUGAUUAAUAGGGAUAGUCGGGGGCGUCAGUAUUCAAUUGUCAGAGGUGAAAUUCUUGGAUUUAUUGAAGACUAACUAUUGCGAAAGCAUUCGCCAAGGAUGUUUUCA